CACAUGCAAGUCGAGCGGCAGCGGGAAGUAGUUUACUACUUUGCCGGCGAGCGGCGGACGGGUGAGUAAUGUCUGGGAAACUGCCUUAUGGAGGGGGAUAACUACUGGAAACGGUAGCUAAUACCGCAUAACGUCUACGGACCAAAUUGGGGGACCUUCGGGCCUCACGCCAUCGGAUGUGCCCAGAUGGGAUUAGCUAGUAGGUGGGGUAAUGGCUCACCUAGGCGACGAUCCCUAGCUGGUCUGAGAGGAUGACCAGCCACACUGGAACGGAGACACGGUCCAGACUCCUNCGGGAGGCAGCAGUGGGGAAUAUUGCACAAUGGGCGCAAGCCUGAUGCAGCCAUGCCGCGUGUGUGAAGAAGGCCUUCGGGUUGUAAAGCACAUUCAGCGAGGAGGAAGGCAUAAAGGUUAAUAACCUUUGUGAUUGACGUUACU
Molecule: ribosomal RNA, 438 nt
Filed under: Yersinia enterocolitica
Lineage: Bacteria; Pseudomonadati; Pseudomonadota; Gammaproteobacteria; Enterobacterales; Yersiniaceae
Description: bacterial SSU rRNA
Rfam family: Bacterial small subunit ribosomal RNA
Source: RNAcentral